GGCUCGUUGGUCAAGCGGUUAAGACUCCGGCCUCUCACGCCGGCAACGAGGGUUCGAUUCCCUCACGAGUCA
This 72-nucleotide transfer RNA is filed under the name Firmicutes bacterium CAG:41. It matches the Rfam family "tRNA". Rfam says of the family: Transfer RNA (tRNA) molecules are approximately 80 nucleotides in length. Their secondary structure includes four short double-helical elements and three loops (D, anti-codon, and T loops). Further hydrogen bonds mediate the characteristic L-shaped molecular structure. tRNAs have two regions of fundamental functional importance: the anti-codon, which is responsible for specific mRNA codon recognition, and the 3' end, to which the tRNAs corresponding amino acid is attached (by aminoacyl-tRNA synthetases). tRNAs cope with the degeneracy of the genetic code in two manners: having more than one tRNA (with a specific anti-codon) for a particular amino acid; and 'wobble' base-pairing, i.e. permitting non-standard base-pairing at the 3rd anti-codon position. Lineage: Bacteria; Bacillati; Bacillota. The record is from Rfam by way of RNAcentral. RNAcentral also lists the same sequence under 2 other names.